RNAcentral lists this ribosomal RNA (467 nucleotides) under uncultured bacterium. RNAcentral's name for it is "partial 16S ribosomal RNA". It matches the Rfam family "Bacterial small subunit ribosomal RNA", at positions 29 to 507 of the family's 1533-position model. The record is from RNAcentral.
ACGAACGCUGGCGGCGUGCUUAACCCCUGCAAGUCGAACGGAAAGGCCCUGCUUUUGUGGGGUGCUCGAGUGGCGAACGGGUGAGUAACACGUGAGUAACCUGCCCUUGACUUUGGGAUAACUUCAGGAAACUGGGGCUAAUACCGGAUAGGAGCUCCUGCUGCAUGGUGGGGGUUGGAAAGUUUCGGCGGUUGGGGAUGGACUCGCGGCUUAUCGGCUUGUUGGUGGGGUAGUGGCUUACCAAGGCUUUGACGGGUAGCCGGCCUGAGAGGGUGACCGGCCACAUUGGGACUGAGAUACGGCCCAGACUCCUACGGGAGGCAGCAGUGGGGAAUAUUGCACAAUGGGCGGAAGCCUGAUGCAGCAACGCCGCGUGCGGGAUGACGGCCUUCGGGUUGUAAACCGCUUUCGCCUGUGACGAAGCGUGAGUGACGGUAAUGGGUAAAGAAGCACCGGCUAACUACGUG